RNAcentral lists this non-coding RNA (21 nucleotides) under Caenorhabditis elegans. Lineage: Eukaryota; Metazoa; Nematoda; Chromadorea; Rhabditida; Rhabditidae. The record is from RNAcentral.
UAAUCUAUGCAUCUCAACAGU